CUGAUCCAGCAUGCCGCGUGUGUGAGAAGGCCUUCGGGUUGUAAAGCACUUUUGUCCGGAAAGAAAUCCUUGGCUCUAAUACAGUCGGGGGAUGACGGUACCGGAAGAAUAAGCACCGGCUAACUACGUGCCAGCAGCCGCGGUAAUACGUAGGGUGCGAGCGUUAAUCGGAAUUACUGGGCGUAAAGCGUGCGCAGGCGGUUUGCUAAGACCGAUGUGAAAUCCCCGGGCUCAACCUGGGAACUGCAUUGGUGACUGGCAGGCUAGAGUAUGGCAGAGGGGGGUAGAAUUCCACGUGUAGCAGUGAAAUGCGUAGAGAUGUGGAGGAAUACCGAUGGCGAAGGCAGCCCCCUGGGCCAAUACUGACGCUCAUGCACGAAAGCGUGGGGAGCAAACAGGAUUAGAUACCCCAGUAGUCAA
RNAcentral lists this ribosomal RNA (420 nucleotides) under uncultured bacterium. RNAcentral describes it as "bacterial SSU rRNA". It matches the Rfam family "Bacterial small subunit ribosomal RNA", at positions 383 to 797 of the family's 1533-position model. The record is from RNAcentral.